GACGAACCGAGCGAACGUUAUUCGGAAUCACUGGGCUUAAAGCGUGUGUAGGCGGGCCCGUAAGUACCUUGUGAAAUCCCACGGCUCAACCGUGGAACUGCUCGGUAUACUGCGGGUCUUGAGCCAGCUAGGGGCGACCGGAACAAGUGGUGGAGCGGUGAAAUGCGUAGAUAUCACUUGGAACGCCGAAGGUGAAAACAGGUCGCUGGGGCUGCGCUGACGCUGAGACACGAAAGCCAGGGGAGCGAACGGG
RNAcentral lists this ribosomal RNA (253 nucleotides) under uncultured bacterium. RNAcentral describes it as "partial 16S ribosomal RNA". It matches the Rfam family "Bacterial small subunit ribosomal RNA", at positions 524 to 776 of the family's 1533-position model. The record is from RNAcentral.